AUUGAACGCUGGCGGCAGGCCUAACACAUGCAAGUCGAGCGGUAGAGAGGUGCUUGCAUCUCUUGAGAGCGGCGGACGGGUGAGUAAUGCCUAGGAAUCUGCCUAGUGGUGGGGGGAUAACGUUCGGAAACGGACGCUAAUACCGCAUACGUCCUACGGGAGAAAGCGGGGGAUCUUCGGACCUCGCGCCAUUAGAUGAGCCUAGGUCGGAUUAGCUAGUUGGUGAGGUAAUGGCUCACCAAGGCGACGAUCCGUAACUGGUCUGAGAGGAUGAUCAGUCACACUGGAACUGAGACACGGUCCAGACUCCUACGGGAGGCAGCAGUGGGGAAUAUUGGACAAUGGGCGAAAGCCUGAUCCAGCCAUGCCGCGUGUGUGAAGAAGGU
This 386-nucleotide ribosomal RNA is filed under the name uncultured bacterium. Its description in RNAcentral is "bacterial SSU rRNA". It matches the Rfam family "Bacterial small subunit ribosomal RNA", at positions 30 to 415 of the family's 1533-position model. The record is from RNAcentral.